Molecule: ribosomal RNA, 253 nt
Filed under: uncultured bacterium
Lineage: Bacteria
Description: partial 16S ribosomal RNA
Rfam family: Bacterial small subunit ribosomal RNA
Source: RNAcentral
UACGGGGGGGGCAAGCGUUGCUCGGAAUUACUGGGCGUAAAGGGCUCGUAGGCGGUCAACUAAGUCAGACGUGAAAUCCCUCGGCUUAACCGGGGAACUGCGUCUGAUACUGGAUGGCUUGAGUUUGGGAGAGGGAUGCGGAAUUCCAGGUGUAGCGGUGAAAUGCGUAGAUAUCUGGAGGAACACCGGUGGCGAAGGCGGCAUCCUGGACCAACACUGACGCUGAGGAGCGAAAGCCAGGGGAGCAAACGGG